UACGGAGGAUGCGAGCGUUAUCCGGAUUUAUUGGGUUUAAAAGGUGCGUAGGCGGGAUGCCAAGUCAGCGGUAAAAAUGCGGUGCUCAACGCCGUCGAGCCGUUGAAACUGGCGUUCUUGAGUGGGCGAGAAGUAUGCGGAAUGCGUGGUGUAGCGGUGAAAUGCAUAGAUAUCACGCAGAACUCCGAUUGCGAAGGCAGCAUACCGGCGCCCUACUGACGCUGAGGCACGAAAGCGUGGGUAUCGAACAGG
RNAcentral lists this ribosomal RNA (252 nucleotides) under uncultured bacterium. RNAcentral describes it as "partial 16S ribosomal RNA". It matches the Rfam family "Bacterial small subunit ribosomal RNA", at positions 524 to 776 of the family's 1533-position model. The record is from RNAcentral.